Molecule: ribosomal RNA, 759 nt
Filed under: uncultured bacterium
Lineage: Bacteria
Description: bacterial SSU rRNA
Rfam family: Bacterial small subunit ribosomal RNA
Source: RNAcentral
GAUGAACGCUAGCUACAGGCUUAACACAUGCAAGUCGAGGGGCAGCAUGGUCUUAGCUUGCUAAGGCCGAUGGCGACCGGCGCACGGGUGAGUAACACGUAUCCAACCUGCCGUCUACUCUUGGACAGCCUUCUGAAAGGAAGAUUAAUACAAGAUGACAUCAUGAGUCCGCAUGUUCACAUGAUUAAAGGUAUUCCGGUAGACGAUGGGGAUGCGUUCCAUUAGAUAGUAGGCGGGGUAACGGCCCACCUAGUCUUCGAUGGAUAGGGGUUCUGAGAGGAAGGUCCCCCACAUUGGAACUGAGACACGGUCCAAACUCCUACGGGAGGCAGCAGUGAGGAAUAUUGGUCAAUGGGCGAGAGCCUGAACCAGCCAAGUAGCGUGAAGGAUGACUGCCCUAUGGGUUGUAAACUUCUUUUAUAAAGGAAUAAAGUCGGGUAUGGAUACCCGUUUGCAUGUACUUUAUGAAUAAGGAUCGGCUAACUCCGUGCCAGCAGCCGCGGUAAUACGGAGGAUCCGAGCGUUAUCCGGAUUUAUUGGGUUUAAAGGGAGCGUAGAUGGAUGUUUAAGUCAGUUGUGAAAGUUUGCGGCUCAACCGUAAGAUUGCAGUUGAUACUGGAUGUCUUGAGUGCAGUUGAGGCAGGCGGAAUUCGUGGUGUAGCGGUGAAAUGCUUAGAUAUCACGAAGAACUCCGAUUGCGAAGGCAGCCUGCUAAGCUGCAACUGACAUUGAGGCUCGAAAGUGUGGGUAUCAAACAGG